AUCUAUUCUUAAAGCUCAAGAAAAAGGCACAUUCAGACGCACAGCAAAGAAAACAGAUAUGCAUUACCGAGCUUCAACGAACUGAACUCGAGCUUUGCUGUUUCAUCUAUGAUCGUUAUUUCCAUAACCGAGUCCGCCAUUCAGUUAUGCAGAGAGCGACAACUUUAAAUGCAUUUUACAAUGGGUACAUAUGCAUUGCAAAUUCUGACCUCGCAUGAUGUUGGUGCAUGUUCAAUCAGAUCCUGCUGGACGUCUGGUUAUCACAGGGGAUCCAGAGCAGCCUGAUAAUCCUUGGAGGAUCACUCCGUUCAAGAAUGUG
Zea mays is the source of this 319-nucleotide long non-coding RNA. RefSeq lists it as uncharacterized. Lineage: Eukaryota; Viridiplantae; Streptophyta; Magnoliopsida; Poales; Poaceae. The record is from RefSeq and is a predicted model, not a curated record. The transcript has 3 exons.